CCACCAUCAAAUCUACACAGAGAUUCUCCCAGAAAGAUUUGAAAUGUCAGAAGAGGCUCCAAAAUGCCUUCGUUUAAGACCUGGUACAUUAUAGACGCUUCAGCUCUCGGAAGACGAAGGGCAGGCAGGUUCAAGUUAUACUGAUGGUUGUGCACAGCCAUCAGCUGCAAUCGAAUAUUGGAAGAGUCAGCACAGCGAUGGAGCGCGACCCCCUCUGAUGCGUGUUCCGCAGCUUGUUUAACGCUGAUCCAACGCUCCAUCUCGGUCAACAUGCUCCACACAAUAUUUCUGCACCUGUCUCAAGCUGCAGCCGCUGGGCAGGUUCAAAUUAUCCGAUCAUUUCAGAUUUCUAGCAAUUGCAAUUCUUCCUUUGCUCACACUUAUCCUAGGAUGCUAGCGGCAAUAAAUACAUGCUCAAAGUUUGCUCCCAAGUUGUGUCUUUAGCCUGUCAAUUAGACAACUGACUCGUCAUCUGAUUGAUAUCUGUCACAGCUUUAAAUAUUAGCCUGAGCAAUAUUCAGUUAUUAUUCCUGGGACUGAUCAUUUCUCUUUGUAACUCAACAUUCUGUUCACUGCAAGGAAUAAGAAUAAAGCUACCAAUUUGAAUCUUAAA
Long non-coding RNA from Pristis pectinata (smalltooth sawfish), 613 nucleotides. RefSeq lists it as uncharacterized. The transcript has 3 exons. The record is from RefSeq and is a predicted model, not a curated record. Lineage: Eukaryota; Metazoa; Chordata; Chondrichthyes; Rhinopristiformes; Pristidae.